Molecule: unclassified non-coding RNA, 1075 nt
Filed under: Hevea brasiliensis (rubber tree)
Lineage: Eukaryota; Viridiplantae; Streptophyta; Magnoliopsida; Malpighiales; Euphorbiaceae
Source: RNAcentral
GCCUUUCGCCUUGAUAACACUGGGGAUGAUAUGGGGUGCCUAAUACCUUCCCCACGCAUACACAGAUCCCGAGCUCAAAAUUUCUGUUUUUGAAGUGGCUAAAUUUUUUAAAAACAAUAAGUGGUUUUCCUUAAUUUCCCCUUAAAAUUAAAGUGGCGACUCUUCACUUCUCCACUUCGGUGAGAAUGGUCCGGUGACCGCAAAACCCUUGCGACACAAGGAAAAUGAGAUUUAGAUAGCUAAGCAUUGACAUUGUGAUGUGCAUCAUGGUGACAAAGGGGGCUGCCCUAUUUCAAGAUGCAUCUUACCAUUCCUAUCACUUGUUCAAGGGCCAAGUUUGUUACUUUGCUUACAUGGUUGGAAGACUAAUAGCUUGAAUGUUGAUAUUGGGCUUGCAUGAAUCUUAAUUGAAGUGUUAUUGCUGUUUCAGUUUGGCUCAAGCCCAUGUCCAGUUAGGGUUAAUUUUGGUAUCAUGAAAUUAAAGAUUAGUAACCUUAAAAUAAAGUGCAGCCACCUUUUUCCAUUUAUCUCUCUUAAUUUAGGCAGCUAGAAACUCUUUUGGGGUUGUUUUUGUUGACUUUUCUCUUCGUAAAUAGGUUAGGAGUCAACUUAGAAUCUUUGAUUGAUUUCCUACUUAGUGCCCAAGUUUACUUCCUAACUAUUUUCCUUAUUAUUUCUUAUUUAGUAUUACUUAUUUAUUCCUAUUUAGAGUUAGUUGAUGAUAAUAUAACAAAGUGCUGCCGAGCUGCUUUCAAUUUCUUAUCAAAACAAGUGUGUUCUGUGGAGAUCCAGAAACUUAUUACUCUUCUUCCUUUCUUUCUACGAGUGUGGUGUUUCACCCCUUUGUGUGUGUUUGUGGUGAGUCUUCUUAUCAAACAAACACAAAGGGCUUUCUCUUUAUCUUCUUUUACUGUGUUAAAACCAUUCUAAAAGCAACUUAAGCAACUUAAUCUUGUUCUAAGUUAAUUGACCCUACUUUAAGAUAGCCUGGCACAUCACAUGGUCUCAAAUUUUUUUCCCCUUAACAACUAAAGAUAACAAAAGUCAAGUACAAAAGUGUGGCAGCAAACUCCUU